This 637-nucleotide ribosomal RNA is filed under the name Pseudomonas migulae. RNAcentral's name for it is "bacterial SSU rRNA". It matches the Rfam family "Bacterial small subunit ribosomal RNA", at positions 37 to 670 of the family's 1533-position model. The record is from RNAcentral. Lineage: Bacteria; Pseudomonadati; Pseudomonadota; Gammaproteobacteria; Pseudomonadales; Pseudomonadaceae.
UGGCGGCAGGCCUAACACAUGCAAGUCGAGCGGUAGAGAGAAGCUUGCUUCUCUUGAGAGCGGCGGACGGGUGAGUAAUGCCUAGGAAUCUGCCUGGUAGUGGGGGAUAACGCUCGGAAACGGACGCUAAUACCGCAUACGUCCUACGGGAGAAAGCAGGGGACCUUCGGGCCUUGCGCUAUCAGAUGAGCCUAGGUCGGAUUAGCUAGUUGGUGAGGUAAUGGCUCACCAAGGCGACGAUCCGUAACUGGUCUGAGAGGAUGAUCAGUCACACUGGAACUGAGACACGGUCCAGACUCCUACGGGAGGCAGCAGUGGGGAAUAUUGGACAAUGGGCGAAAGCCUGAUCCAGCCAUGCCGCGUGUGUGAAGAAGGUCUUCGGAUUGUAAAGCACUUUAAGUUGGGAGGAAGGGCAGUAAAUUAAUACUUUGCUGUUUUGACGUUACCGACAGAAUAAGCACCGGCUAACUCUGUGCCAGCAGCCGCGGUAAUACAGAGGGUGCAAGCGUUAAUCGGAAUUACUGGGCGUAAAGCGCGCGUAGGUGGUUUGUUAAGUUGGAUGUGAAAUCCCCGGGCUCAACCUGGGAACUGCAUUCAAAACUGACAAGCUAGAGUAUGGAGAGGGUGGUGGAAUUUC